This 108-nucleotide ribosomal RNA is filed under the name uncultured bacterium. RNAcentral describes it as "partial 16S ribosomal RNA". It matches the Rfam family "Bacterial small subunit ribosomal RNA", at positions 1367 to 1482 of the family's 1533-position model. The record is from RNAcentral.
UACGUUCCCGGGCCUUGUACACACCGCCCGUCAAGCCAUGGAAGAUGGGAGUACCUGAAGUCGAUAACCGCAAGGAGUCGCCUAGGGUAAGUACCGUUGACUGGGGCU